RNAcentral lists this ribosomal RNA (506 nucleotides) under uncultured bacterium. RNAcentral describes it as "partial 16S ribosomal RNA". It matches the Rfam family "Bacterial small subunit ribosomal RNA", at positions 30 to 523 of the family's 1533-position model. The record is from RNAcentral.
AUUGAACGCUGGCGGCAGGCCUAACACAUGCAAGUCGAACGGUAACAGGAAGAAGCUUGCUUCUUUGCUGACGAGUGGCGGACGGGUGAGUAAUGUCUGGGAAACUGCCUGAUGGAGGGGGAUAACUACUGGAAACGGUAGCUAAUACCGCAUAACGUCGCAAGACCAAAGAGGGGGACCUUCGGGCCUCUUGCCAUCGGAUGUGCCCAGAUGGGAUUAGCUUGUUGGUGGGGUAGCGGCUCACCAAGGCGACGAUCCCUAGCUGGUCUGAGGGGAUGACCAGCCACACUGGAACUGAGACACGGUCCAGCCUCCUACGGGAGGCAGCAGUGGGGAAUAUUGCACAAUGGGCGCAAGCCUGAUGCAGCCAUGCCGCGUGUAUGAAGAAGGCCUUCGGGUUGUAAAGUACUUUCAGCGGGGAGGAAGGGAGUAAAGUUAAUACCUUUGCUCAUUGACGUUACCCGCAGAAGAAGCACCGGCUAACUCCGUGCCAGCCGCCGCCGUAA